GGGCUUGUACUGGUUUCGACGGGGGUUUUGAAGUUGCGGAAGCCAUCCGUGGUCCGGGACCACGUUAAAACUCGGAAUUAAAAUUAAACGCUGAAGACAAUUUAGCACUCGCUGCCUAAUGGCAGCUGUCGGCCUUAAGCUUCCUGCGGCUUAAGCACCGGCAUCAAACUUGCAGGGCACUCCGGCUCUUAAGCUUUGCGGAGCCGGAAGAAAAUCAUGAAGCUACUAAAGCCCGCAGCCUGUCAGCCGGCGGCGGAUGGAGGGAAUGUCAAAUAACUGACUGUGAUGGGAGAUGCCGCAGUGGAUGGGCUUUCGGACAGGGGUUCAACUCCCCUCAGGUCCACUA
This 346-nucleotide transfer-messenger RNA is filed under the name Lachnospiraceae bacterium. It matches the Rfam family "transfer-messenger RNA". Rfam says of the family: Bacterial tmRNA, also known as 10Sa RNA or SsrA, is named for its dual tRNA and mRNA-like properties. Lineage: Bacteria; Bacillati; Bacillota; Clostridia; Lachnospirales; Lachnospiraceae. The record is from RNAcentral.